GUUAUAGUUCAGAGGUAGAACAUUUACCUAACAUGCAUAUUCCCUGAGUUUAAUUCUCAGCACUAACA
This 68-nucleotide transfer RNA is filed under the name Dipodomys ordii (Ord's kangaroo rat). It matches the Rfam family "tRNA". Rfam says of the family: Transfer RNA (tRNA) molecules are approximately 80 nucleotides in length. Their secondary structure includes four short double-helical elements and three loops (D, anti-codon, and T loops). The record is from Rfam by way of RNAcentral. Lineage: Eukaryota; Metazoa; Chordata; Mammalia; Rodentia; Heteromyidae.